CUUUACUACUGCUUGGUGAAACUGGCAGCACUGGAUAAUAGUUGGCAUAAUGUCGGGUAUAGAAAACCGAUAAUAGUUUAUGAGGUUGUUGUUAAGUUAUGGUGUUGGGGAAUCGAAUCAUCGUGGAUGUAAAUACUAAAAUCUUUGAAGCUGAUUGCAAUGUAAUCUGCUGUCGAGAGGUAUUCAAUCAUUCCGGUUAAGAUUGCCCCAACAAACUUCAAAGAUUUUAAGAUCUUUAUUGAGUACACUAAGGAGCUUGCUAUAGAGUGUACACAACGAAGCAUUAUGCUAUUGGAAGAACGAAGUAAAUUAUGGAAGGCAGAAUACGAACUGCGGGAGAAACAGAUAGAAGAAGAGUACGAGCGGGAGUUGAUGGAAAUUGAGGAGGCAUACAAAAA
Aedes albopictus (Asian tiger mosquito) is the source of this 398-nucleotide long non-coding RNA. RefSeq lists it as uncharacterized. The transcript is spliced from 2 exons. NCBI's taxonomy places the organism in Eukaryota, Metazoa, Arthropoda, Insecta, Diptera, Culicidae. The record is from RefSeq and is a predicted model, not a curated record.